AAGUCGUAACAAGGUCUCCGUAGGUGAACCUGCGGAAGGAUCAUUAAAAGUAUAUAGUUAUACAUUCUGUGUAUCGACUAAAUAUACCCAUUCUGAGUACCUUGCCUGUUGCUUCCAUGGAGCCUGACACAUGACACAUGUCACUCCGGGGAUUUACAUCCCGAGGGAGCCUCCGUGGAAGGUAAUCAAUUAACUCUUGAAUCCAAUGUCAUCUGUCUGAUAAUGUUUAUAACAAAUGUUAAAACUUUCAACAACGGAUCUCUUGGUUCUC
Molecule: unclassified non-coding RNA, 271 nt
Filed under: Wilcoxina sp.
Lineage: Eukaryota; Fungi; Ascomycota; Pezizomycetes; Pezizales; Pyronemataceae
Description: partial contains small subunit ribosomal RNA, internal transcribed spacer 1, and 5.8S ribosomal RNA
Rfam family: Eukaryotic small subunit ribosomal RNA (bases 1-46)
Source: RNAcentral